AUUGAACGCUGGCGGCAGGCCUAACACAUGCAAGUCGAGCGGAUGAAGAGAGCUUGCUCUCUGAUUCAGCGGCGGACGGGUGAGUAAUGCCUAGGAAUCUGCCUGGUAGUGGGGGACAACGUUUCGAAAGGAACGCUAAUACCGCAUACGUCCUACGGGAGAAAGUGGGGGAUCUUCGGACCUCACGCUAUCAGAUGAGCCUAGGUCGGAUUAGCUAGUUGGUGGGGUAACGGCUCACCAAGGCGACGAUCCGUAACUGGUCUGAGAGGAUGAUCAGUCACACUGGAACUGAGACACGGUCCAGACUCCUACGGGAGGCAGCAGUGGGGAAUAUUGGACAAUGGGCGAAAGCCUGAUCCAGCCAUGCCGCGUGUGUGAAGAAGGCCCUCGGGUCGUAAAGCACUUUAAGCUGGGAGGAAGGGUUGUAACCUAAUACGUUGCAGCUUUGACGUUACCAGCAGAAUAAGCACCGGCUAACUCUGUG
This 484-nucleotide ribosomal RNA is filed under the name uncultured bacterium. RNAcentral's name for it is "bacterial SSU rRNA". It matches the Rfam family "Bacterial small subunit ribosomal RNA", at positions 30 to 507 of the family's 1533-position model. The record is from RNAcentral.